Molecule: non-coding RNA, 46 nt
Organism: Phlebotomus papatasi
Lineage: Eukaryota; Metazoa; Arthropoda; Insecta; Diptera; Psychodidae
Source: Rfam
CAAAAAGCCCUUUUCAGGGCUACUCCACCUACAAAUAACGCUGCAU